AUGAGGAACCUCGAGGAUGCGAGAAGAGUUAGCGUUUUCGAUGAUGAUGCAUACUCGGAGAAAGUCUCGCUCAAGUCGGGGCAGGAUUAUUACUCGAGCCCCAAGGAGCACAUACCGCCGCUCCCGCCCAAGAGGAAAAGGAGUUCGAGGGAUAUCACCCAGGAUAAUGAUUCGUUGGACGAGGAGAGAUACAACCUCAAUGGCUGGGCCAAUAGGAGUCCGGAUCAAGAUAAAGCACCUAGCAGGGAGACGGCCAUGGAUGAAAUUCAUCUCGAGAAUGUCGAUCAAAAUCAAUACGACUUGCCACCGAAUGUGCCCCGGAGGAGAACAAGAUCUCGAGGCACCUCUCUCGUGGAUGAGGACCGAACUUCCAGGGAAGCAGAAUCUUUACCCAGUGAAAGGACCGAGGAGUUUCCACCAGAAAACGAUAUCCGAGACGCAAUGUACGGCUAUGCUACAGUUGAAAAAUCUGCGAAAACAGAGAAACCCGACAAACCUCCCCGCCCUCCACCACCGGGUCGACAAAAGAAGCGGUUCCGAAAUAUUAAAUCACAGGGAUUCUCUUACUUUUUCACAGUUCCUAGGAGAAGACAAAGUAAUCUUACUCAACAAUAUCAGCAAUACAUUUGUAGUACACCUCCAGUUCGACCAUAUCGCAACUACAGCACGAUUGGUCCAUCUCGACCACCAAGGCGAAACAAAGUGUUCAGAGAACCUGUGUACGCAGAUGGAGACGAGAAGGAGAAUAAAGUUAAAACGCUUGAAGACGAGGAAUUGGAGAGAGAUAUCGAAGAAUUAAUAAAAAACGCCAUCAAUGACCAACUAAACGACAACCUAAAGUCGGGAGAUGUAAUUGAAAAAAUGAAAGUAAGACCACUGCCACCUCCACCCAGACCUCCGAGAAGAACUCGUGAGGAAGGCGAUUAUGACGAUACGAGAAAUGAGGAGGGUAACGUUGAACUUCAUUUACGUAGCCUUAACGCAAGCCCAGAACCCGUUGUCGAGCAAGAAUGUGUUGCCAAGCAUGACACUGUCAGUAUAGAGGAAAAUAGCCGCAUUAGUACUGCUCAAAAUGACCUUAACAAGACGAAAAGCUUAGAGAUGAUAACUGAUUCCCAAAGACAAUCAAGACCUAGCACUAUUUCACGAAGAGCACCUUCAAGAAGAAAUAGUGCAACGAAACGAAGCAAGACUCCUCUGCCCCAAGAUCGAGCACCAACAGAGGAAGCACAAGAAGUCAAGAUUGAGGAUGUUUCCGUUUCUACGCAGACCGAUGUCCUUCCUGAAGGGUACAUCAUCGAGGAAGAGCGAAUGACAGACGACAGAAGUCAAACGGAUAGUAGUUAUCCCACAACCACAGCUACCCUGACAGGUUCGGACUCAGGGGCUGCAGCUCUUGUAGAGCGAAAAGUGAUCCUCCUUCCUGAUAAAGAGCUGGAGGUGGAGAUUCUAAAAACCAAGAAAAUUCAAGUGUCAGAGAUCGAUGUUGAAAAACUUAACGUUACAGAGAUUAACACUAACAAAAUCAAGGUGUCGGACGUGGAUGGUGUAUCGAUGCAUGUCGCUGAGAUAAACAGUAAGAGCGGUAAUAUUGUCAUUAAUAACCUAGAACUGCCUCAAAGCGUGCUGGAGAGCAUAUCAAGAAACCUGGCUGAGCUACAAUCAACGAGCGCUGGCACAUCUGGCUCAGAGGUCCCCGAGUCGAUGCUUCGUUUGUCGCGAGGAGGUCUGAGCUCUCCGACUGGUGGUUUGGAAGGGGAGUCAUCGAGCGUUGUGCCCAUUCCUGGUUCACACAGAGUGCUCAGCACCGGAUUAUCUUCAGAAGAGGGCGCUAUCUCUCUACCUCCUCGUCGGGAUCCCACUGUUUAUGAGCUGAGCCAACAAAUGUUUGAUAUAAUACAGAGGAAUGUCUCAAAGUUCGUAGAGAGAAGUAUUCAAAAUGGAAUUAUUGAUGUAGAAAAGCAAAGAGAGAUUCAACACACGAUUAGUAUUGUUUUAAUUGUGGUAGCGGUUCUUUACUUAAUUGGAUUUGGCUCAGGGAGUACAAUCCAUACUCAUCACUGGGAUUUCCAAUUCCCACCUCCUCCACCUCCUCAAGGAUCUCAUCCGUGA
This 2112-nucleotide long non-coding RNA is filed under the name Bemisia tabaci. RNAcentral describes it as "lncRNA ENSSSA1NGG002951". Lineage: Eukaryota; Metazoa; Arthropoda; Insecta; Hemiptera; Aleyrodidae. The record is from RNAcentral.